This 360-nucleotide ribosomal RNA is filed under the name uncultured eukaryote. Its description in RNAcentral is "partial 18S ribosomal RNA". It matches the Rfam family "Eukaryotic small subunit ribosomal RNA", at positions 592 to 976 of the family's 1831-position model. The record is from RNAcentral.
CAAUAGCAUAUAUUAACGUUGUUGCAGUUGAAAAGCUCGUAGUUGAACUUUUGGUAGGAGCGACCUGGCCUUGGGCGCAUGCCCUUGUUUGCCGUGUGUCGUGUCUGGCCAUCCUUUUCCGCUUCGGCGGGAAUCUUUUACUGUGAGUAAACUGGAGUGCUCAAAACAAGACGUUUGUUUGGUACAUUAAAGCAUGGAAUAAUAAGAUAAGACCUGGUUACUAUUUUGUUGGUUUGCAUAGCUAGGUAAUGAUUAACAGGGACAGUUGGGGGUAUUCGUAUUUAAUUGUCAGAGGUGAAAUUCUUGGAUUUAUGAAAGACGAACGACUGCGAAAGCAUUUACCAAGGAUGUUUUCAUUAA